This is an RNA transcript of Cercocebus atys (sooty mangabey), 2480 nucleotides long. It is a transcript of the gene named makorin ring finger protein 3, with no coding region annotated. NCBI's taxonomy places the organism in Eukaryota, Metazoa, Chordata, Mammalia, Primates, Cercopithecidae. The transcript is spliced from 4 exons. The record is from RefSeq and is a predicted model, not a curated record.
AGAUGCACACUUCCCCUAGAGAAGCCUCCGAGCGCGGCCGCGACUCCGGGCCUCAAGCCCAUAAAGAAAAAAUACCGGAGACGUUCUGGCACCAUUUCGGGGUAAAGAAGCUGCCAUGGAAGAGCCUGCAGCUCCCUCAGAAGCCCAGGAGGCAGCCGGGGCCCAGGCAGGUGCUGAGGCAGCAGGGGAGGGUGUGUCUGGGCCGGACCUUCCCGUCUGUGAGCCCUCCAGGGAAUCUGCUGCUCCAGAUUCGGCCCUGCCACAUGCGCCUGUGGGCUGGGCCCCCUUCCCUGUAGCUCCAGUCCCUGCCCACCUCCGCACAGGAGGCCUGAGGCCUGCCCCAGCCUCAGGAGGAGGAGCAUGGCGCAAUCCGUUUCCAAGCCGAAGCAGCGGCAUUUGGACAAAGCAGAUCAUCUGCAGGUAUUAUAUACAUGGGCAGUGCAAGGAGGGGGAGAACUGUCGCUAUUCCCACGACCUUUCUGGUCGGAAGAUGGCCACUGAGGGCAGCGUUUCGCCGCCUGGGGCCUCUGCAGGUGGAGGCCCUAGCACGGCUGCGCACAUCGAGCCCCCGACUCAGGAAGUGGCGGAAGCCCCCCCGGCUGCAUCCUCCCUUUCCUUGCCUGUGAUUGGCUCGGCUGCUGAAAGGGGUUUCUUUGAAGCAGAGAGAGACAAUGCAGACCGUGGAGCUGCUGGAGGAGCAGGUGUAGAAAGCUGGGCGGAUGCCAUUGAGUUUGUUCCAGGGCAGCCCUACCGGGGCCGCUGGGUUGCAUCUGCCCCCGAGGCUCCUCCACAGAGCUCAGAGACUGAGAGGAAGCAGAUGGCUGUGGGCAGGGGGUUGCGGUUUUGCUAUUAUGCUUCCAGGGGAGUUUGCUUUCGUGGGGAGAGCUGUAUGUUCCUCCAUGGAGACAUAUGCGACAUGUGUGGGCUGCAGGCCUUGCACCCCAUGGAUGCUGCCCAGAGGGAAGACCAUAUAAGGGCCUGCAUUGAAGCACACGAGAAAGAUAUGGAACUCUCGUUUGCUGUGCAGCGUGGUAUGGACAAGGUGUGUGGCAUCUGCAUGGAGGUUGUCUAUGAGAAAGCCAACCCCAAUGACCGCCGCUUUGGCAUUCUUUCCAAUUGCAACCAUACCUUCUGUAUUAGGUGUAUCCGCAGGUGGAGAAGUGCCAGACAGUUUGAUAACAGGAUCAUCAAGUCUUGCCCGCAGUGCAGGGUCACCUCCGACUUGGUCGUUCCCAGUGAGUUCUGGGUGGAGGAGGAGGAAGAGAAGCAGAAACUUAUUCAGCAAUACAAGGAGGCAAUGAGCAACAAGGCCUGCAGUUCCUGGGUCCCUGACCUCGACAAACCACAGCAGGACUUGGUGGAGAAGACCGAGUGUAAUUCUGAAAUCCUGAACUUUGAGCUGGAUUCAAUACAUAGGUGAACGGCAUGGAUUCUGAGAACCAGGAGGAGAGCCAAGUCGUAAAAGGAUUGGUGCCCAAGCAGUCGGACACUCAGCUGGACUGGCAAAGCAAAAUAUCUGUAUGGAAAUGUACGUUUUAUUCAUCCGUCGUUUGAGUCAGGGUGUGCGGGCAAAAUUCCGCAGCUAAUGCCCUCUGCUAAGACGCCACAGCUCCACCGGGGCCCCGUGUAAGGCGCAGAACCACAAAGAUACAGUACGAUGGUUACGUUAACAAAACAUAUGGGUCAUGAAUUCUGUUAUGUUCAGGACAGUUACAGACAGUCUGCAGGGAGGCCUAGUUUUAGCUUUUGUAGACUUAGUAUCAAUGUAGUGAAGCCUAUAAAAGUUGUUCACAGUAGUAAAUACAAAAAGCUGUUGAUUGAUGUAGUGGCCACUAGAUGGCCCGAUAAACUCUACUUCACAGACCUUGGAGCUAGAGACAAGUGACUGCAGUUUGUUGCUGAAGACUAUAUAGUACAAAAAGUCUUUGUUGUUGUUAUUGUGAAUGGAAAAUAAUUAUCGACAUUAUACAAAUUAAACAGGUUCAUAUCGAAGAGGCUCUGCUAUAGAGUCCUACAAAAUGGAAUUAAAUAAAAUUUCUCUGAUCUAGAAAAACACUCAUUUUAGAAUGAAAAAUAGUGAUAUGCAUGUGUGCAAAAUGUGUAAUCUUACUCUCGGGCUUCAGUUUCGUGAUUUUAGAUCACUUCCCUCUUUUUUGUGAGAAAAGACAGCUCCUAGACACUCAUAUUUCAAACUGUGUAAAUACUGAAUAAUAAAAUGAAGAAAAAAGUCUAAAACAAGGACUUGCUGUACACUAUUCACAGGUUCUUGAACAUGUUUUAUAAGGUAUUCUUUUGCUUACUUAUGAACUUGGUUAUUUGUUUUUAUUUGUUGAAUUGUAAGAGUUCUUUGUGUAUUUGGAUGCAAGUCCUUUAUCAGAUAUGUGAUGUGCAAAUAUAUACUCCAAGGCUGAAGCUUGUCUCUUCAUUCCCUCAAGAGUUAAUUUCACAGAUGGAAAAAAUAAUUUUAAUAAAGUCCAAUU